AGGACCUUCAUUUGGACUUGAAUCGGCAAAAGUUGGUUUCGAUCGGCAUUCGGGGUAAUGAAUACCUAUCGAGACGUCGCGACUGUUGUCACUGGCCUGAUAGGAGUUCCGAGUCGUGAUAUAAAUAAAAAUUUUUAAUAUUGAAAAUCUCCUAAACACUCAUGGUAAAGUGUUGGAAAAUUCUCUCACUUAGAAAUUCUCAAGAAGCCACUUUUGGUUUUCUUGAGAUUUCAUCAUUGGAGAAAUUACGUAAAUUAUGUAUUAGCUCCUAAUUUUGAGGGACCAAAAAUAAAUAAAUAAAUAAAUAAAUAAGAUAUUUACCCAUAA
Molecule: non-coding RNA, 327 nt
Organism: Theobroma cacao (cacao)
Lineage: Eukaryota; Viridiplantae; Streptophyta; Magnoliopsida; Malvales; Malvaceae
Source: RefSeq, a predicted model, not a curated record